Molecule: long non-coding RNA, 1836 nt
Organism: Perca flavescens (yellow perch)
Lineage: Eukaryota; Metazoa; Chordata; Actinopteri; Perciformes; Percidae
Exons: 3
Source: RefSeq, a predicted model, not a curated record
CUCACUUUAUUGGCACUUCACGGGUGAAAAAAAUAGUCUGGUGCAGAGCCUGUCUUUCUCUAUUACUGUGGUCUGGUGAUAAAGUAAUAACACCGAUUGGGACGGAUAAUGUACACUUACACUCUGCACCUCCAAGGAUAAAAUAAGGGAAAUGCCACAUUGACACAUUUACCUUCAACUUUGAAGUGUCACAGCCACCGUUACAGAGGCAACUGUUGGGUUAUCAUAGAUAUAUAUCUAUGUUGGGUUAUUACCUCGCCAGACAGUUGUGAUGGUCUCUCAGUUUCAGAGGACAUCUACUUCCAGUAUGAGUGAGUUAACAGACUUUGACAGAGGCCAGAUAGUUGGUGCCCAGGUUGCAGGUCUGUCGGUCAAAAAAACUGCUCAGUUAUGUGAUGUAUCAAGUCAAACUGUCUUCAAAGUCAUGAGUGACUAUAACAAACACGGACACACUUCAUCAGCAAAAAAGAACAGUGGACACAAGGCACAGACGAAGAGGAGAGGACUGACAAAAGCUACAACUAAUGGAGAAGUUGCCAGUGGGAAACCAGUAUCCAAGUCUGAUGAAGAGAGCAAGAUACCUGAAUCCCAGACCCAAGACAAGACACAGUGGUGAAUGUUUUCCUACCCUGGAUAUCUCUGAUCCAGUGUACAAAAUAAUGGAAUCACCAUAUGACGGAGGACAUUGGCGCACCUAAGUAGAAAUUACAGGGCCUGCUGCCUGCGUGUAAAUUGGGAUUGCUUGCCGGCACCAAAAGAGACCGUCAACACUUAAAUAGCAGCGUUUAAAGCAAUAUGAGUGACUUAACAGAGUUUGAACGAUGCCAAAUAGUUGCUGCGCGGCUGUCAGGGGCAUCUGUCACAAAAACUGCACAGCUUUUUAACGUGGCAAGGGGAACAGUCUCCAGAGUCAUGACUGUGUACAUCAAACAUGGACGAACAGCAUCAGCAAAGAAGAACAGCGGGCGCAAGUCAAAGCUCACAGAACAGGAUAGACAGACACUUCUCAGGAUAGUCGAUGAGCACCCUGAGUAUACAGCCUCAAAAAUAACCACAGAGUUGAAUGGACACCUCUCUCACACCGUCUCAGUCAAAACUAUACGGCGUGAGCUUCACAAAGCUGGUAUUUUUAUAGGAGCAGCCAGUCGGAAACCAGAGACCGAGACUGAAACACAGAAGCCAGAUGGAAAGAACACUAAACCUAAACCUGGCAAAGAGCGUGACACACAAAAACAUGGCGACGAGAGCACAAAACCUGGAAUGCAAACAAAUGACAAAGAGUGUGGCACACAAAAGCCUGUGGGAGACAAAACAAUACCUGAAGCCCGGGUUAGUGUCGAAGAGUACAACACAGAAAAAUCUGAAGAGAGAAUACAACCUGAAUCCCAAGUCAGUUAAGAAGAGUACAUCACACAAAAGCCUGGUGAAGAGAGCACCGAACCUAAACCUCAGACCAGUGAAAAGGAAUAACUUGUUGUAUUUUCAGCCUUUCUUAUAUAUCUAGAUUGGUCAUAUUAAUAAUGGAAAACCACAGAAUGCCUACAUCCCUUAAUGUUGCCCACUGUCAAAUGUGACCAUGGAUUUCUGUUUCAAGAUUUUAUUAUGUAUUUUGAAUGAAUUUAAAAGGGUGCAAGAUUCCGGCAUAUCCCAAGCGUUGUUUUUUGUGUGGUUUGCGAGCAAACGUAACUUAACAGAAGACUAAAAAGUGAAAAAUGUCCAAACUGUAAAUUAUAGUUUUUUUCCUGAUAUUCAGACAAAUGUCAUGCUGAAAUUAUUGUCUGUGUUGUACUGUAAAGCAUGGCCUUUUUGAGGUUAUAAUUUUUUAUAUAUAUAUAU